This 778-nucleotide long non-coding RNA is filed under the name Homo sapiens (human). RNAcentral's name for it is "non-protein coding lnc-JUN-5:11". The record is from RNAcentral. Lineage: Eukaryota; Metazoa; Chordata; Mammalia; Primates; Hominidae.
AAGGAAUGGUACCAGCUCUUCUUUGUACCUCUAGUAGAAUUCGGCUCUGAAUUUGGUUCCACUCUCCCCAUCACUUUCAGGUACACCAACCAAAGACAUUGUUGUCUUUGGGACCAAUACAUUUCUUCUAUCUGCAUAUCUGGGUAGAAGCUCUCAUGGAAGAAAAAAGAAAAGCCCCAUAGGUGAAGGGGAGUGUGCCUGCCAAGUUCCUUGUAAUAACUUCACACGCAGAGUAUUUUCUGAAAUGGAUCUGCUAGAGUCAUCUCAUGGAAUCUUCUCAUUCUUCUGGAGUCUCCUCAUUUUACAGGAAAAACAUCCAGGCAAGUGGACAGCAUUUGCAACAGCCCAGCAAUAAGAAGGACCAUAUUCUACUUGGGAAAAGGUAAAGUCGUUUCAUAUGGACGGAGCCUGCCAGGAAACCUGUCAUUCAACCCUUUGCAAUAAAACAGCUCCUCAUGAAUGAAGCAAAAUAAAUCAGAAGUUGUGGGCUUUUAAACUCACUAAAUGAAAGCACAGCAUGCAUGCAGCCUCCCUCCAAAUUAAUCACCAGAUUAAAUGCAAGAUGUGCACACCAAAUCAAUAGCUUGUGACGGGGACCUCCUGCCUGUGCUUCAGGAAAAUUCCAUUUCCUUUCAGAUGUUGUCGCUUGAAAUGUCAGGAAGUUUCCAUUCAUCACCCGCCCUUGAAAAUGCCACCAUCACCAUACUUCAUGUUUCCUUGCUUUCUUUCUUCAGAGGAAUCCAAGCACCUUGCAGAGGGAGCCCACUCCUUGUCACAG